AGUUCAAGCGAACAAGAGCGUAAGGUGAAUGCCUUGGCAUCAGGAGCCGAAGAAGGACGCGACAAGCUGCGAUAAGCUGCGGGGAGCUGCAAAUAAGCAUUGAUCCGCAGAUUUCCGAAUGUGGAAACACACACGGUGAAGAACCGUGUAGCGUAAACUGAAUACAUAGGUUUACGCGGGGAACCCCGGGAACUGAAACAUCUAAGUACCGGGAGGAAGAGAAAUCAACCGAGAUUCCGCGAGUAGUGGCGAGCGAAAGCGGAGGAGGCUAAACCGACAGUAGAAAUACGGUCGGGGUUCGGACUGUUGUAAGCGAGCGGAAGUUAGUCGAAUGGCAUGGGAAGGCCAGCCGGAGGGAGUGAAAGCCUCGUAGGCGAAAACGGAAGCGAGUGAACAGGAUCCAGAGUAUCAGCGGACACGAGAAAUCCGGUGAGAACGUGGGGGGACCACCCUCUAAGCCUAAAUACUACCUGAUGACCGAUAGUGGAGCAGUACUGUGAAGGAAAGGUGAAAAGAACCCCGGGAGGGGAGUGAAAGAGAACCUGAAACCUUAUGCUUACAAGCACACAGAGCCCCGUAUGCGGGUGAUGUGGUACUUUUUGUAGAACGGUCCGGCGAGUUAUGGUAUGCAGCGAGGUUAAGUGAUUCAGUCACGGAGCCGCAGGGAAACCGAGUGUGAACAGCACGUAGAGUUGCAUGUCAUAGACCCGAAACCGGGUGACCUAUCCAUGAGCAGGUUGAAGUCAGGGUAAAGCCUGAUGGAGGACCGAACCGACCCCCGUUGAAAAGUUGGCGGAUGACUUGUGGAUAGCGGAGAAAUUCCAAUCGAACCCGGAUAUAGCUGGUUCUCCCCGAAA
RNAcentral lists this ribosomal RNA (857 nucleotides) under Clostridiales bacterium 52_15. RNAcentral's name for it is "bacterial LSU rRNA". It matches the Rfam family "Bacterial large subunit ribosomal RNA", at positions 1 to 864 of the family's 2925-position model. Lineage: Bacteria; Bacillati; Bacillota; Clostridia; Eubacteriales. The record is from RNAcentral.